GUGGGGAAUUUUGGACAAUGGGCGCAAGCCUGAUCCAGCAAUGCCGCGUGCAGGAAGAAGGCCUUCGGGUUGUAAACUGCUUUUGUACGGAACGAAACGGUUCUGGUUAAUACCCGGGGCUAAUGACGGUACCGUAAGAAUAAGCACCGGCUAACUACGUGCCAGCAGCCGCGGUAAUACGUAGGGUGCAAGCGUUAAUCGGAAUUACUGGGCGUAAAGCGUGCGCAGGCGGUUGUGUAAGACAGGCGUGAAAUCCCCGGGCUCAACCUGGGAAUUGCGCUUGUGACUGCACGGCUGGAGUGCGGCAGAGGGGGAUGGAAUUCCGCGUGUAGCAGUGAAAUGCGUAGAUAUGCGGAGGAACACCGAUGGCGAAGGCAAUCCCCUGGGCCUGCACUGACGCUCAUGCACGAAAGCGUGGGGAGCAAACAGGAUUAGAUACCCGGGUAGUCC
Molecule: ribosomal RNA, 450 nt
Filed under: uncultured bacterium
Lineage: Bacteria
Description: partial 16S ribosomal RNA
Rfam family: Bacterial small subunit ribosomal RNA
Source: RNAcentral